GGAGUCGGCACAGCCAGGGUGGUUAAGGUGUUCUUGCCUUCUGUCACCAUUGGGCUUGUCCCAGAAAGCUCGAACAAGAUUGCCUCAAUAGACUCCUUUGCUUCUUUCUUUCUUGAAGCACGCGUAACCCUCUUUCUUGCAUUUCAGAGAGUGUUCUUGGACUCUGUUUUCUUCAAUUGGGUCUUGACUACUAUAGGAGUGACAUGAGGUCUGGCAUUCUGAAUGGGCUUUGGAACAGUCGCUCUCACCAAUAAUGAAAGUCUUUUUGAAUCCCACUCGUUUGGUG
RNAcentral lists this long non-coding RNA (286 nucleotides) under Prunus persica (peach). Its description in RNAcentral is "long non-coding RNA (PPER_LNC006939)". Lineage: Eukaryota; Viridiplantae; Streptophyta; Magnoliopsida; Rosales; Rosaceae. The record is from RNAcentral.